RNAcentral lists this transfer RNA (76 nucleotides) under Alphaproteobacteria bacterium. RNAcentral's name for it is "tRNA-Asn". It matches the Rfam family "tRNA". Rfam says of the family: Transfer RNA (tRNA) molecules are approximately 80 nucleotides in length. Their secondary structure includes four short double-helical elements and three loops (D, anti-codon, and T loops). Further hydrogen bonds mediate the characteristic L-shaped molecular structure. tRNAs have two regions of fundamental functional importance: the anti-codon, which is responsible for specific mRNA codon recognition, and the 3' end, to which the tRNAs corresponding amino acid is attached (by aminoacyl-tRNA synthetases). tRNAs cope with the degeneracy of the genetic code in two manners: having more than one tRNA (with a specific anti-codon) for a particular amino acid; and 'wobble' base-pairing, i.e. permitting non-standard base-pairing at the 3rd anti-codon position. RNAcentral also lists the same sequence under 11 other names. Lineage: Bacteria; Pseudomonadati; Pseudomonadota; Alphaproteobacteria. The record is from RNAcentral.
UCCGCGGUAGCUCAGUUGGUAGAGCAGGUGGCUGUUAACCACCGGGUCGCAGGUUCGAGUCCUGCCCGCGGAGCCA